This 253-nucleotide ribosomal RNA is filed under the name uncultured bacterium. RNAcentral's name for it is "partial 16S ribosomal RNA". It matches the Rfam family "Bacterial small subunit ribosomal RNA", at positions 524 to 776 of the family's 1533-position model. The record is from RNAcentral.
UACGUAGGGUGCAAGCGUUAAUCGGAAUUACUGGGCGUAAAGCGUGCGCAGGCGGUGAUGUAAGACAGAUGUGAAAUCCCCGGGCUCAACCUGGGAACUGCAUUUGUGACUGCAUCGCUGGAGUACGGCGGAGGGGGAUGGAAUUCCGCGUGUAGCAGUGAAAUGCGUAGAUAUGCGGAGGAACACCGAUGGCGAAGGCAAUCCCCUGGGCCUGUACUGACGCUCAUGCACGAAAGCGUGGGGAGCAAACAGG